Molecule: long non-coding RNA, 2656 nt
Filed under: Homo sapiens (human)
Lineage: Eukaryota; Metazoa; Chordata; Mammalia; Primates; Hominidae
Description: HSALNT0075371
Source: RNAcentral
GGUGCUCGAGCUGUGGUGCGUGCCGCUAAGUUGUGCGUUCCAGGGUGCACUCGCCGGCGAGGCUGCACGGCGCCGGUUUCAUUGCUAAAAUCCGACGGACUUGUUGCAGAACUCGUUUUUUUUGUCGGGAAAGGGCUUCCCCGUGUAACUUUACAGCAGUUAUCGUAGAUAAGACUUGCAAAUUACAGAUGUGGACGGUGAGGGAACGGGAAUUUCACUGAAAGCGCCUGAGAACCAGUAAGAGACCUGCAACAGCUUUGUGCUCCACUGGCGAAUGCUUCCUCCCCUAAUACACAUUAUGUGUGCUUGGAGACACAAGGAGUAAGAUACAGCCCCUCAAGGGACUCGUCAUAGGGAGAGGACACAGCUUUGGGAAUAAAGGGGCCACAAAGGAGGAGAGAGGAGUUUGCUGAAACUUCCCAAGCUCCCAUUCCAGCAGUUCCUGAAGGAUUCAUUUCUCUCUGAGGAUCUCAUGAGGUGGCUUAGCAGCUAGAAUCUCUUCCUUAACAGUGGGAAGAACAACUCCUGGAAAUUUAGGUCGACUUUGACUGGAUUUAAAAGAAAGCUGUACAAUUCCACUUCUGUAUAUACAACCAAAGGAAAUGAGAUGUGCAUACCCAUGUUCAAUGAAGCAUUAUUCACAAUAGCCAAAAUGUGGAACCAAUCCUUAAACAAAAGGAAAACAGAAAAUCUGCUCAAGUGGGAAGAAACUAACCCUCAUUGAGUGCCUAGUUAACAUCAGGCACUUUGUACACAUAAUCAAUUGAAUCUUGACCACAACCCUGUGAGAUCCAUGGAUGAUUCUGGGUUUAGUUCUUUGUGAGACUGCCAGAAACUCCCAGAGGCUGGAUCUAUGCAUAAAGAGAGGCCAUUGGAGAGAAUGUCUACUGAAUUGCUGAAGACAAUUGCUACCGAGAAUAGAUCGUAACUUAGGAAGAAACAAUUCAGUACCAAAAGAGUAAUUGGAGCCCUUCUGGAAAACACUAGUAAGGUGAAAAAUGAGAAGAUUAAAUAAGCCAUGGGAAGAUUUUUUAAAAUGACAUGAAACUCCAAGGGUAAAAAGUAGGCUGGGAAAUCUUAGGAUGGUGAACCAUCAUGUUUCCUGAAUGUGAAUCCUGUACCUGGUUUGACUGUAGUCACCCCUUCUCCAACACUCUCCACGAUGCCGGCUGCCUCAUGGCCUAAAAUCACAGGAAGUGGGGUCACCAUGGUACCACUAACCACGUGGUCAUCUGUGCCACAGAUUCCUACAGCCACCAUCUACAGAGUGAAGAGAAGAUGUUUAUAAAAGAUUGAUGUUCAACAUGAUCAAUGCCAAAUAAAUAUCAGAAUACUUGGAAGUAAAGUACUAAUAGUAGGAGUUCCUGAUUAUCAGGUGCCUAUGAUGUGACAGGCACAUUGUGGCCUGUGCUCGACCAGGAGACUGGUGAGUCCUUGUGGAUUUCUUCCCUGCUCAAGUGCAUAAAGCAGGUGUAUUGCAUAGCUUUUCCAGGCUGAGAUCAAAGACGGAGAUGUGCCUACCCGCAGAUCCUAGAUGGCCAUGUUUGCAACAGAGGUAAUGAUGAGCAGUGCGAAGAUGUGACUCCAAAGCCUGGAGAAGGACAGACCAGCAUCCCUGCAAGAGAUCCAACUGUCUUCUUUUCCGCAGAGGUCCAUAAUUUACAUGGGCCUGACAAAGAAUACUGUAACUUGCAGAAAUUAUCUUCAGUUCAAAUCCUUCAUUUUGGGGGUUAAAUAACUUGGUAAGAUAAUGAGAUUAAUAUUAUUGUAAAGAUUGCUAGAAAGAAUUGUAACAGUUCAUGUAUGUGCAUAAAUAACAACCUUAAAGCAUGUUUUGGGAUGAGGUGCAAAAUGAAAAUUGGGAGAGGGACUUUAGUAGCAGUAAACAGAACUUGAGAAUGGAAUAGAUGCAUACUCUAUAGCACACUGCAAUAAAUAGAAUACAUUUUAAGUUCCUAGAGAAAUUUUUGAAAAUGCCACAUUCAAAGCCAUCAAUCCCUACUCAAUUAGCAUUUCAUUUUGAUUUUGGUACUGAAGCCCAAGAUGUCGAGGGAGCGGAAAUACUUGCUGGUCUUGCAGCGGCUGUGGAGCCUGGAAUCCUGCCAAGAAGAGCAUGUGUGAGAGAUCAAAAUGUUUGCUUACAUUCCUCCUGUGAAGGGAGUUGGGAAAUAACCUAAGAAGCCCAAUCCAAAAACAAAGAUGUACCAUCCAGUCUUCUCUGUGAGAACCAAACUACAAACCAUCUGAAUGUUCCAAAAGUGUUUUGAUGAUGUAUUGAUGUAUUUUAAAUUAUCCUGAAAAUGUUCUUGGCAGAUGCUUAAACAUGUAAUUACUGAGAUGAUGUAGAAAUACCAAGUGUUUAUUAAAACAAUACAGAGUAAUACAAAUGGUAUGUUUGUCGCAAUAUAAAAGUAUCUAAAAAUUAAAGAGUUCUUUAAUGGUGGAGAUUGUUUUCCUUUUUGAAGUUAAAAUAUAAAUUUUUGUAAAAAGCACAAAUUAUUACUAUUUAUAGCUAACAUUUAUGGAGUGCUGACUAUGCUCAUUUUUGAGCAUACAUUGCCUCAUUUAGUGCAAUGUUUAGCAUUAACUUAUGAGGUAAAUGCCAUUGCCAUGCACAUUGUACAGAUGAAGACAUUGAGGUUUAGAGAGAUUGCAU